This 77-nucleotide small RNA is filed under the name Mytilus galloprovincialis (Mediterranean mussel). Lineage: Eukaryota; Metazoa; Mollusca; Bivalvia; Mytilida; Mytilidae. The record is from RNAcentral.
GCAAUAGCAAGAAAUUUUCAAUUGUACAGUAUUGCGCAAUAGCAAAAACUGUGCAAUUGAAAAUUUCUUGCUAUUGC